AGCGAACGCUGGCGGCAGGCUUAACACAUGCAAGUCGAACGCAUCCUUCGGGGUGAGUGGCAGACGGGUGAGUAACACGUGGGAACGUACCUCUUUGUUCGGAAUGGCUUUUGGAAACGAAAGGUAAUACCGGAUACGCCCUUUUGGGGAAAGAUUUAUCGCAGAGAGAUCGGCCCGCGUCUGAUUAGCUAGUUGGUGAGGUAAUGGCUCACCAAGGCGACGAUCAGUAGCUGGUCUGAGAGGAUGAUCAGCCACACUGGGACUGAGACACGGCCCAGACUCCUACGGGAGGCAGCAGUGGGGAAUAUUGGACAAUGGGCGCAAGCCUGAUCCAGCCAUGCCGCGUGAGUGAUGAAGGCCUUAGGGUUGUGAAGCUCUUUCGUCCGGGAAGAUAAUGACUGUACCGGAAGAAUAAGCCCCGGCUAACUUCGUGCCAGCCGCCGCCGUAA
RNAcentral lists this ribosomal RNA (449 nucleotides) under uncultured bacterium. Its description in RNAcentral is "partial 16S ribosomal RNA". It matches the Rfam family "Bacterial small subunit ribosomal RNA", at positions 29 to 523 of the family's 1533-position model. The record is from RNAcentral.